Non-coding RNA from Amniculicola lignicola CBS 123094, 95 nucleotides. The record is from the annotation of a GenBank genome assembly. NCBI's taxonomy places the organism in Eukaryota, Fungi, Ascomycota, Dothideomycetes, Pleosporales, Amniculicolaceae.
GGCAACGUGGCCGAGUGGUUAAGGCGCUGUGUUUAGGUUGUAUUGCUCAAUCUCCGCAGUGGGAAACCUCGCGCGUUCGAAUCGCGCCGUUGUCA